RNAcentral lists this ribosomal RNA (253 nucleotides) under uncultured bacterium. RNAcentral's name for it is "partial 16S ribosomal RNA". It matches the Rfam family "Bacterial small subunit ribosomal RNA", at positions 524 to 776 of the family's 1533-position model. The record is from RNAcentral.
UACGUAGGUGGCAAGCGUUGUUCGGAAUUACUGGGCGUAAAGCGCGUGUAGGCGGCUCUUCAAGUCAGGCGUGAAAGCCCCGGGCUUAACUCGGGAACUGCGCUUGAUACUGUCGAGCUAGAGUGUGGAAGGGGCGAUUGGAAUUCCGUGUGUAGCGGUGAAAUGCGUAGAUAUACGGAGGAACACUAGAGGCGAAGGCGGAUCGCUGGGCCAACACUGACGCUGAGACGCGAGAGCUAGGGGAGCAAACGGG